Molecule: ribosomal RNA, 578 nt
Filed under: uncultured bacterium
Lineage: Bacteria
Description: bacterial SSU rRNA
Rfam family: Bacterial small subunit ribosomal RNA
Source: RNAcentral
CCUACGGGAGGCAGCAGUAAGGAAUAUUGGUCAAUGGAGGCAACUCUGAACCAGCCAUGCCGCGUGCAGGAAGACAGCCCUCUGGGUCGUAAACUGCUUUUAUUCGGGAAUAAACCUUAUUACGUGUAAUAAGCUGAAUGUACCGAAGGAAUAAGGAUCGGCUAACUCCGUGCCAGCAGCCGCGGUAAUACGGAGGAUCCAAGCGUUAUCCGGAUUUAUUGGGUUUAAAGGGUGCGUAGGCGGCUUAUUAAGUCAGGGGUGAAAGACGGUGGCUCGACCAUCGCAGUGCCUUUGAUACUGAUGAGCUUGAAUGAACUAGAGGUAGGCGGAAUGCGACAAGUAGCGGUGAAGUGCAUAGAUAUGUCACAGAACACCGAUUGCGAAGGCAGCUUACUAUGGUUUUAUUGACGCUGAGGCACGAAAGCGUGGGGAUCAAACAGGAUUAGAUACCCUGGUAGUCCACGCCCUAAACGAUGAAUACUCGCUGUUAGCGAUAUACAGUUAGCGGCUAAGCGAAAGCGUUAAGUAUUCCACCUGGGGAGUACGCCCGCAAGGGUGAAACUCAAAGGAAUUGACGG